This 209-nucleotide long non-coding RNA is filed under the name Capsicum annuum. RNAcentral describes it as "long non-coding RNA (CANN_LNC010958)". The record is from RNAcentral. Lineage: Eukaryota; Viridiplantae; Streptophyta; Magnoliopsida; Solanales; Solanaceae.
GCGCCCCUGCACCCAAGCCACCACAAGAAAGACCUCACAGACGAGGUGCCAAUGAAACAAGAAGGAGAGUUGUGAAUCAAUGGGAAUGAAAAGCCCCUACGCAAGUAGCAAACCCACCUGGGAACCAGCCUGCUAGUCAAUAAAAACCUCCAAGUGCCAAGGAUGUGCAUGUUAUUCCAGAGCAAAUAAAUUCACUUACCAGAACUGAG